RNAcentral lists this ribosomal RNA (211 nucleotides) under uncultured Erysipelothrix sp. RNAcentral describes it as "partial 16S ribosomal RNA". It matches the Rfam family "Bacterial small subunit ribosomal RNA", at positions 1171 to 1381 of the family's 1533-position model. The record is from RNAcentral. Lineage: Bacteria; Bacillati; Bacillota; Erysipelotrichia; Erysipelotrichales; Erysipelotrichaceae.
AAGUGGGGAUGACGUCAAAUCAUCAUGCCCCUUAUGGCCUGGGCUACAAACGUAAUACAAUGGCGUAUACAAAGGGAUGCGAAAGGGCGACCUGGAGCAAAACUCACAAAGUACGUCUCAGUUCAGAUUGGAGUCUGCAACUCGACUCCAUGAAGGCGGAAUCGCUAGUAAUCGCGGAUCAGCAUGCCGCGGUGAAUACGUUCUCGGGUUU